Molecule: ribosomal RNA, 76 nt
Filed under: Leptodophora orchidicola
Lineage: Eukaryota; Fungi; Ascomycota; Leotiomycetes; Helotiales
Description: Cadophora orchidicola partial 5.8S ribosomal RNA
Rfam family: 5.8S ribosomal RNA
About the family: 5.8S ribosomal RNA (5.8S rRNA) is a component of the large subunit of the eukaryotic ribosome. It is transcribed by RNA polymerase I as part of the 45S precursor that also contains 18S and 28S rRNA. Functionally, it is thought that 5.8S rRNA may be involved in ribosome translocation.
Source: RNAcentral
CAGUGAAUCAUCGAAUCUUUGAACGCACAUUGCGCCCUCUGGUAUUCCGGGGGGCAUGCCUGUUCGAGCGUCAUUA